CAGCAGCCGCGGGAAUACGCAGGGUGCGAGCGUUAAUCGGAAUUACUGGGCGUAAAGCGUGCGCAGGCGGUUGUGUAAGACAGGUGUGAAAUCCCCGGGCUUAACCUGGGAACUGCGCUUGUGACUGCACAGCUAGAGUAUGGCAGAGGGGGGUGGAAUUCCACGUGUAGCAGUGAAAUGCGUAGAGAUGUGGAGGAACACCGAUGGCGAAGGCAGCCCCCUGGGCCAAUACUGACGCUCAUGCACGAAAGCGUGGGGAGCAAACAGGAUUAGAUACCCGCGUAGUCCCUGUCUCUUAUAA
This 301-nucleotide ribosomal RNA is filed under the name uncultured bacterium. Its description in RNAcentral is "partial 16S ribosomal RNA". It matches the Rfam family "Bacterial small subunit ribosomal RNA", at positions 509 to 809 of the family's 1533-position model. The record is from RNAcentral.